AUACGUAGGGGGCGAGCGUUGUCCGGAAUGAUUGGGCGUAAAGGGCGCGUAGGCGGCGCGGUAAGUCUGGAGUGAAAGUCCUGCUUUCAAGGUGGGAAUUGCUUUGGAUACUGCCGCGCUUGAGUGCAGGAGAGGUUAUCGGAAUUCCCGGUGUAGCGGUGAAAUGCGUAGAGAUCGGGAGGAACACCAGUGGCGAAGGCGGGUAACUGGACUGCAACUGACGCUGAGGCGCGAAAGUGUGGGGAGCAAACAGGAUUAGAUACCCUGGUAGUCCACGCCGUAAACGAUGGGCGCUCGUCGUCGGCGGCAGACAGUCGGCGGCCAAGCGAAAGCGAUAAGCGCCCCACCUGGGGAGUACGGUCGCAAGGCUGAAACUUAAAGGAAUUGGCGGGG
RNAcentral lists this ribosomal RNA (393 nucleotides) under uncultured bacterium. RNAcentral's name for it is "partial 16S ribosomal RNA". It matches the Rfam family "Bacterial small subunit ribosomal RNA", at positions 523 to 918 of the family's 1533-position model. The record is from RNAcentral.